CAUGCAAGUCGUACGGAAAGUAUUUGAAUUUAUUCGUUUACUUUUAGUGGCGGACGGGUGAGUAACACGUGAGAAUCUGCCUUUAGGAGGGGGACAACAAAUCGAAAGAUCUGCUAAUACCCCAUAUGUCAUUAGAUGAAAUGAAUUUAUUCGCCUAAAGAGGAGCUCGCGGCUGAUUAGCUAGUUGGUAAGGUAAUGGCUUACCAAGGCGACGAUCAGUAACUGGUUUGAGAGGAUGAUCAGUCACACUGGAACUGAGACACGGUCCAGACUCCUACGGGAGGCAGCAGUGGGGAAUUUUCCGCAAUGGGCGAAAGCCUGACGGAGCAAUACCGCGUGAGGGAUGAAGGCUUACUGAGUUGUAAACCUCUUUUUUCAAGGAAGAAGUUCUGACGUUACUUGAAGAAUAAGCAUCGGCUAACUCCGUGCCAGCAGCCGCGGUAAGACGGAGGAUGCAAGUGUUAUCCGGAAUCACUGGGCGUAAAGCGUCUGCAGGUGGUUUUUUAAGUCUGAUGUUAAAACUUGAGGCUCAACCUCAAUCCAGCAUUGGAAACUGAAAGACUAGAGUAUAGUAGGGAUAGAGGGAAUUUCCAGUGGAGC
RNAcentral lists this ribosomal RNA (600 nucleotides) under uncultured cyanobacterium. RNAcentral describes it as "bacterial SSU rRNA". It matches the Rfam family "Bacterial small subunit ribosomal RNA", at positions 54 to 679 of the family's 1533-position model. Lineage: Bacteria; Bacillati; Cyanobacteriota. The record is from RNAcentral.